Drosophila albomicans is the source of this 623-nucleotide long non-coding RNA. RefSeq lists it as uncharacterized. The record is from RefSeq and is a predicted model, not a curated record. The transcript has 4 exons. Lineage: Eukaryota; Metazoa; Arthropoda; Insecta; Diptera; Drosophilidae.
CGGAAUUUAAUUUUAUUUUUUGUUAUAAAGUUUAUUUGCUUUUCAAUAAAAAUAUGGUUUACAUCAUUUGUGCUCCUUUGGUUAAUUGAAUUUCAAAAGCAAAGAAAUGUAGAAAGAUUCACAUAGGUCCGAUUUUGUACGACUAACCCAAUCGCAAUCGAACGUCGGCGUAUGCAGUCGUGUUUUAUUUUUCAUUGUGAAUCGGGACAACAAUAAAAAUAAAUAUGUUAUUUAAAACCAAACAAAAACAAUAUUAUUAUAUAUACCCUGCAGAACUGGAGGUGUCGAUUGCCCAUGGCUGAUGAAAUUAUUGCAAGCAUUUGAGUUGAAAAGUGCAAAGCGGAUCCACGAUUCUUAGAUAAUAAAAGUACGACAAGCAGUUAGAAUAAUGUAUAGUUUUACAGUGGAAAACUACAAUGUGCCUAAAGAAUUGAAAUUGGAAAUUAUGACAGAAAAUCUACGUUAUGGAAUUAAUGACAGGGGAAUGCGGCCCAAAAAAGAAGACAAUUUCUUUGGUGUUAUGAUCGAUUCAAUAACUGAGGACCAGUUGAGAAAGGCCUUGCAGCUCCAAAAAAAAAAAAAAACGAUAUUUUAAAACUCAAUUUGUCUUAAAGUAAUAAAAG